CCGAUAUUGACGCUCAGGCACGAAAGCGUGGGGAGCGAACAGGAUUAGAUACCCUGGUAGUCCACGCCGUAAACUAUGAUCACUCGUUGUUGGCAAUACACAGUCAGUGACCAAGCGAAAGCGAUAAGUGAUCCACCUGGGGAGUACGAUCGCAAGGUUGAAACUCAAAGGAAUUGACGGGGGCCCGCACAAGCGGUGGAGCAUGUGGUUUAAUUCGAUGAUACGCGAGGAACCUUACCUGGGCUCAAAUGUAAGUUGACAGUUUCUGAAAGGGAAUUUUCUUCGGACAAUUUACAAGGUGCUGCAUGGUUGUCGUCAGCUCGUGCCGUGAGGUGUCGGGUUAAGUCCCAUAACGAGCGCAACCCCUACUCUUAGUUGCCAUCAGAUAAUGCUGGGGACUCUAGGACAACUGCCUACGCAAGUAGAGAGGAAGGUGGGGAUGACGUCAAAUCAGCACGGCCCUUACGUCCAGGGCUACACACGUGCUACAAUGGCCGGUACAGAGGGCAGCCACCUGGUGACAGGGAGCGAAUCUCUAAAGCCGGUCUCAGUUCGGAUCGAAGUCUGCAACCCGACUUCGUGAAGCUGGAAUCGCUAGUAAUCGCGCAUCAGCCAUGGCGCGGUGAAUACGUUCCCGGGCCUUGUACACACCGCCCGUCAAGCCAUGGAAGCUGGGGGUACCUGAAGUCGGUGACCAUUUAGGAGCCGCCUAGGGUAAAACUAGUGACUGGGGCUAAGUCGUAACAAGGUA
Molecule: ribosomal RNA, 751 nt
Filed under: uncultured marine bacterium
Lineage: Bacteria
Description: bacterial SSU rRNA
Rfam family: Bacterial small subunit ribosomal RNA
Source: RNAcentral